RNAcentral lists this non-coding RNA (27 nucleotides) under Rattus norvegicus (Norway rat). Lineage: Eukaryota; Metazoa; Chordata; Mammalia; Rodentia; Muridae. The record is from RNAcentral.
UAGCAAUGAAAGAGGUGGUGUUAGGCA